RNAcentral lists this ribosomal RNA (372 nucleotides) under uncultured organism. RNAcentral describes it as "bacterial SSU rRNA". It matches the Rfam family "Bacterial small subunit ribosomal RNA", at positions 526 to 896 of the family's 1533-position model. The record is from RNAcentral.
CGGGGGGGGCAAGCGUUGUUCGGAAUUACUGGGCGUAAAGGGCGCGUAGGCGGCCUGCUAAGUCGGACGUGAAAUCCCUCGGCUCAACCGGGGAACUGCGUCCGAUACUGGUGGGCUCGAAUCCGGGAGAGGGAUGUGGAAUUCCAGGUGUAGCGGUGAAAUGCGUAGAUAUCUGGAGGAACACCGGUGGCGAAGGCGGCAUCCUGGACCGGUAUUGACGCUGAUGCGCGAAAGCCAGGGGAGCAAACGGGAUUAGAUACCCCGGUAGUCCUGGCCCUAAACGAUGAGUGCUUGGUGUGGCGGGUAUCGAUCCCUGCCGUGCCGAAGCUAACGCAUUAAGCACUCCGCCUGGGGAGUACGGUCGCAAGGUUA